This 500-nucleotide ribosomal RNA is filed under the name uncultured bacterium. RNAcentral's name for it is "partial 16S ribosomal RNA". It matches the Rfam family "Bacterial small subunit ribosomal RNA", at positions 29 to 523 of the family's 1533-position model. The record is from RNAcentral.
AUUGAACGCUGGCGGAAUGCUUUACACAUGCAAGUCGAACGGUAACAGGGACUUCGGUCCGCUGACGAGUGGCGAACGGGUGAGAAAUACAUCGGAACGUACCCAGUUGUGGGGGAUAACUACGCGAAAGCGUAGCUAAUACCGCAUACGACCUGAGGGUGAAAGCGGGGGACCGUAAGGCCUCGCGCAGUUGGAGCGGCCGAUGUGCGAUUAGCUAGUUGGUGAGGUAAAGGCUCACCAAGGCGACGAUCGAUAGCUGGUCUGAGAGGAUGAUCAGCCACACUGGGACUGCGACACGGCCCAGACUCCGACGGGAGGCAGCAGUGGGGAAUUGUGGACAAUGGGCGAAAGCCUGAUCCAGCCAUUCCGCGUGAGUGAAGAAGGCCUUCGGGUUGUAAAGCUCUUUCGGGUAGAAAGAAAUCGCAUGAGCCAAUACCCUGUGCGGAUGACGGUACUACCAUAAGAAGCACCGGCUAACUACGUGCCAGCAGCCGCGGUAA